This is a long non-coding RNA of Schistocerca serialis cubense, 2873 nucleotides long. RefSeq lists it as uncharacterized. The record is from RefSeq and is a predicted model, not a curated record. Lineage: Eukaryota; Metazoa; Arthropoda; Insecta; Orthoptera; Acrididae. The transcript has 3 exons.
CGCGUUGUUAAAAUAUAUGUAUAAGAAUCGCGGUUGAAUGCUAACAGUGAUAACCAGAACUUGUGUUUAUAUAGUGAAGUUAUUUCCUGUUUGGAAAGGGAGUAGGCCUAUUUAUUUGAAGGUGUUAAGUGAGCUAUUAUGUUGUCAGUUACUUAUGUGGUGUUGGUGGGAAAGGGACUGGACUGUAAAAAGUGGCACCCUGCUGCUGUGUAUUGUAAAACCGUGUAAUUGUGUUUUAGGCACUUGGUGGUGAAUUAAUGGAUGACUAAAAAUGUUACUGCACUUCUCUCCCAUUAAUUGUGUUACAGGUAGACUGCAUAAAUAUUUUCCAUUCAUAAUUCAUGAAUUGCUGCAUUUGCAGAGUGGGCUGCACCGAGUGGAACCACUUAACGCACAUCCACAGUACAUCUUCCGAGAUAGGUGUGGCUAUGUCUGAUGGAAUGUGACUGUUAAUAUUGAAGUCUAUAACAGUUAUCUGCUGUAACGCAUUGCUUGACUUAUGUUGAAAUAUCUGAACAACUGUUAUAGUCUUGGUGACCUACUUUUGUUGCAGUGGAUUAAGCCUCUGAGCCUCAUCGUAUUUUUGGAGAACUGAGGCAGGGUGAUGCUUUUGAUAACCCUCGUGCUGUGAAAAGUAUUCCAGCUUGUGACAAUGAAAUCUAUGAUGUCCUGUACAUAUUGACAGUGUGUCCUAUUUGGAAGAGUCUCUUCAGCGUGGUAGACAAUUGACAGUUCCAGCUGUUGAACUUUUUUACAUGAUAUGAGUAGCGCACUCAACAACUGCAAAUAAGUACCCAGUAAACUGAAAAUAACUCCACUGUGUAAACAUGAGCUCAGUGAAGCUAUUCUGUCCAUUUGCAUAAUACAAAUGGACAGGAAAUGCUCGGGAGCAGCACCUGUGGUGGGGGAAGCUGCCUUUCCCGUAACGGAUCACUAAGAAUCAGUUUCUCCUCUUGCAGUGUAGAACAUUGUGCAGAGAUUUACAUACGUCCAGUUCAUGUACAUUCCCUGCAUUAGUGUUGUUAGUAACUUGUAUCUGCAUUCUGUGUAGUGUUAACUCAUUUUGUGCAAAAUAAACCCUCCCCGCGGACAUCUGCACGCUGUGUCACCAGCGAUUCGUGUGGCGUAUUGUGGACGGAGAACUUUGUGAUGUACCCUGUAGUUGCUUCUUGUGACGUAGCGAGGGGGAUCACCUGCUUAACCUUCAGUUUGCUUACCUAGGAAGGAGGGAAGUACAUUAAUUUUUUACCAUUGGAACAAUAUAUUUAGUGCCGUAAUUUGCAAUUUUUUUCAUCCUCUGCAAACUAUUAGUCCUAGAGAAAAAGUGACUAGAACCUUUUUUGGCAGGGAAGUGAAUGCAGGUUAAUUUUGUAUUGGGGAAGAAUUUCCCCAGGAUCCGUUGUUUUUGAGUCAUUCAAGAACAAAAAUAAAAAAUUACCUUUAAACCUACCCCCACACCAAUGCUCACACUCCACAGGUCAGGGUUUUUAGUACAAUGUUUGUGACAAUAUAUCCUAGAACUGUGUAAAACUUUGUGACUACAUGACUUUUCCCCUAAUUUUCCUUCAUUGACUGGACUAAAUGUUAGUGUUUGGAACUGACACAGAUAGUGAAGGGCUUCAUCAUCAAAGGCAUUUAGCGACAGCUGUAAACAGAAUGGCAGAAGAACCUUUUGAGAGGACGGAAAAGAAACCCGAGCCUGUCAGCAUUACCUCCCCUGAAAUGUAAGAAACUGGUGGAUUCCAAGACAAAAUUGUGGAAAAUGGAGACAUCUUCAAAUAACAGAAAGAAAUAAAGGCUGAAGAGGCAGGAUCACAGAUGUCAGAUGAAAGUUACCGCAAAAAAGGUUAAGUUGGAAAAGAGUGAAAAUGAAAAUGGAUGCUUGUGCAGUGACUGAAGUUGAAGUCAUAAAUUGAGGAUGAUGAAGCUACACGAAAAAGCUCUCAGCUCUACAGUCCGAGUCUGACCGACUUGUCCGACGAGCCACUGUCGGCGGCACUGCGAUCGCAGGCCCCUCACGGUGUGUGCUUACUCAGGCAAGUGUCGUGGGGAUUUGUUAAUGUAGAGGCUGACUGUACGCUGUAGGUGUCUGCAGACUUCCAUCAUUAGAGGAACAGUUCUAUGAACAGUACAUGCCAUUCUCGGGAGUGUGGACCACUUCGUUGGUUACUCGAGUUCCUCAUCUGACCCCAGAACUGUCAUUUACUGCAGCUAGGCAUUUAGCACUAAUAAAAUGUGAGUUACAUAAAAUGGAAGUGUCCGACAUAUCAGCAGCCGUGAAGAUAUGAAAAUUUAAAGGUAUCUCCAUUUUGAGCAGUACAAACUUUAGAAUUAUUAUUCUAAUUUGUUAAUCCUGUGGUGUAGUCCACGUACUGUGUGAAAGUGACUUGUCAACAUAUGAUCGAAGAACAUUUAUUAUAAACUUUCCUGGUGAUCUCAGUGAACUGCAUUUGGUAAUAUCAAGACCUAUGAACUGGUUAAGAGACUUACUCAGCUAUAAAACUUUUGUGCCUGUGUUUGUUUAUAUUAUGCAUUAUAUGUAUAUUUAACCAAUUGUAUAAGAAAUCUUUAAAUAAGAAUGUAAAAUGACUGUGUAAACUUGUGACUAGUAAUAAUUGAAGGUUAUUGGCAACGAAAUGUUGUUGUAAGCUUGUAGUGUAUCUUACGGAAUAUGCCCAUGACACAGGCAAGUCCUAGGAGCAAUACACAUUGGGUUCAGAGCUGGCUAGAAAUAACUUUUUCAGUUAUUUUGAAAUUUAACUUAGUCAUCUGCCAGAAUGCCUAUGAUGUUGGGGGCUAGAAUAAAUCUGCAGUAACUCAUUUUCUGUUGUAAAAGGCAAAUAAAAGGUGUUUUAUACCUAGCGAAGGUUUUA